UAGGGAAUCUUCGGCAAUGGACGAAAGUCUGACCGAGCAACGCCGCGUGAGUGAAGAAGGUUUUCGGAUCGUAAAACUCUGUUGUUAGAGAAGAACAAGGACGUCAGUAACUGAACGUCCCCUGACGGUACCUAACCAGAAAGCCACGGCUAACUACGUGCCAGCAGCCGCGGUAAUACGUAGGUGGCAAGGGUUGUCCGGAUUUAUUGGGCGUAAAGCGAGCGCAGGCGGUUUCUUAAGUCUGAUGUGAAAGCCCCCGGCUCAACCGGGGAGGGUCAUUGGAAACUGGGAGACUUGGGAGCAGAAGAGGAGAGGGGAAUUCCAUGUGUAGCGGUGAAAUGCGUAGAUAGAUGAAGGAAAACCAGUGGCGAAGGCGGCUCUCUGGUCUGUAACUAACACUGAGGCUCAAAAGCGUGGGGGGCAAACGGG
Molecule: ribosomal RNA, 429 nt
Filed under: Gemmatimonadota bacterium
Lineage: Bacteria; Pseudomonadati; Gemmatimonadota
Description: Gemmatimonadetes bacterium partial 16S ribosomal RNA
Rfam family: Bacterial small subunit ribosomal RNA
Source: RNAcentral